Molecule: ribosomal RNA, 253 nt
Filed under: uncultured bacterium
Lineage: Bacteria
Description: partial 16S ribosomal RNA
Rfam family: Bacterial small subunit ribosomal RNA
Source: RNAcentral
UACGAAGGGGGCUAGCGUUGUUCGGAUUUACUGGGCGUAAAGCGCACGUAGGCGGACUUUUAAGUCAGGGGUGAAAUCCCGGGGCUCAACCCCGGAACUGCCUUUGAUACUGGAAGUCUUGAGUUCGAGGGAGGUGAGUGGAAUUGCGAGUGUAGAGGUGAAAUUCGUAGAUAUUCGCAGGAACACCAGUGGCGAAGGCGGCUCACUGGCUCGAUACUGACGCUGAGGUGCGAAAGCGUGGGGAGCAAACAGG